Molecule: long non-coding RNA, 230 nt
Filed under: Mus spicilegus (steppe mouse)
Lineage: Eukaryota; Metazoa; Chordata; Mammalia; Rodentia; Muridae
Description: lncRNA (ENSMSIG00000022508.1)
Source: RNAcentral
GAAAGAAUGGACUAGAGCAUUGUGAUCUACAGAAACAAUUGUCUUCUUUUACUCUGGCUGGUGCCAAAGUGGCUCAAAAAAAGCUCUUGCACCUGAAAAAUAUUACUGCUUUGAACUCUGACAGUGGAGAGUUUGGGAAAAUUGUACUCAUAUCUUCAUAUCUAUUUUGGAAUCACAUGCCAUGGGAAUGCAGAAUACAGACAAAGAAGAUACUUUUCUUCAUCUAUUAA